RNAcentral lists this ribosomal RNA (1458 nucleotides) under uncultured organism. RNAcentral's name for it is "SSU rRNA". It matches the Rfam family "Bacterial small subunit ribosomal RNA". The record is from RNAcentral.
GAUGAACGCUUGCUACAGGCUUAACACAUGCAAGUCGAGGGGCAUCAGGAAGAAAGCUUGCUUUCUUUGCUGGCGACCGGCGCACGGGUGAGUAACACGUAUCCAACCUGCCCUUUACUCGGGGAUAGCCUUUCGAAAGAAAGAUUAAUACCCGAUGGCAUAAUGAUUCCGCAUGGUUUCAUUAUUAAAGGAUUCCGGUAAAGGAUGGGGAUGCGUUCCAUUAGGUUGUUGGUGAGGUAACGGCCCACCAAGCCUUCGAUGGAUAGGGGUUCUGAGAGGAAGGUCCCCCACAUUGGAACUGAGACACGGUCCAAACUCCUACGGGAGGCAGCAGUGAGGAAUAUUGGUCAAUGGGCGGUAGCCUGAACCAGCCAAGUAGCGUGAAGGAUGAAGGCUCUAUGGGUCGUAAACUUCUUUUAUAUAAGAAUAAAGUGCAGUAUGUAUACUGUUUUGUAUGUAUUAUAUGAAUAAGGAUCGGCUAACUCCGUGCCAGCAGCCGCGGUAAUACGGAGGAUCCGAGCGUUAUCCGGAUUUAUUGGGUUUAAAGGGAGCGUAGGUGGACUGGUAAGUCAGUUGUGAAAGUUUGCGGCUCAACCGUAAAAUUGCAGUUGAUACUGUCAGUCUUGAGUACAGUAGAGGUGGGCGGAAUUCGUGGUGUAGCGGUGAAAUGCUUAGAUAUCACGAAGAACUCCGAUUGCGAAGGCAGCUCACUGGACUGCAACUGACACUGAUGCUCGAAAGUGUGGGUAUCAAACAGGAUUAGAUACCCUGGUAGUCCACACAGUAAACGAUGAAUACUCGCUGUUUGCGAUAUACAGUAAGCGGCCAAGCGAAAGCAUUAAGUAUUCCACCUGGGGAGUACGCCGGCAACGGUGAAACUCAAAGGAAUUGACGGGGGCCCGCACAAGCGGAGGAACAUGUGGUUUAAUUCGAUGAUACGCGAGGAACCUUACCCGGGCUUAAAUUGCAGUGGAAUGAUGUGGAAACAUGUCAGUGAGCAAUCACCGCUGUGAAGGUGCUGCAUGGUUGUCGUCAGCUCGUGCCGUGAGGUGUCGGCUUAAGUGCCAUAACGAGCGCAACCCUUAUCUUCAGUUACUAACAGGUCAUGCUGAGGACUCUGGAGAGACUGCCGUCGUAAGAUGUGAGGAAGGUGGGAUGACGUCAAAUCAGCACGGCCCUUACGUCCGGGGCUACACACGUGUUACAAUGGGGGGUACAGAAGGCAGCUAGCGGGUGACCGUAUGCUAAUCCCAAAAGCCUCUCUCAGUUCGGAUCGAAGUCUGCAACCCGACUUCGUGAAGCUGGAUUCGCUAGUAAUCGCGCAUCAGCCACGGCGCGGUGAAUACGUUCCCGGGCCUUGUACACACCGCCCGCCAAGCCAUGGGAGCCGGGGGUACCUGAAGUACGUAACCGCAAGGAUCGUCCUAGGGUAAAACUGGUGACUGGGGCUAAGUCAUA